RNAcentral lists this ribosomal RNA (533 nucleotides) under Diaspis boisduvalii. RNAcentral's name for it is "eukaryotic LSU rRNA". The record is from RNAcentral. Lineage: Eukaryota; Metazoa; Arthropoda; Insecta; Hemiptera; Diaspididae.
AUCUGGGCGGCGGAAUUCAGGAUGGCUGGGCGGGUUUCGCGCUCGUUCGGCCGUUUGAUAUUUCCGUCGCCGUUGCAGACGUCGCGACCUGUUCGUCGUCGGUCCUUGCUCGGAGGAAUCGCGAUCGAGUUCGUUGCGGGGCGCGUUUCGGCGUGUCUCGCGAUGAAGGCGCGGGUCUCUGGCUGACGACGGACAGUAAGCAACGGUGGCCGGCGUGGUGUCUCGCACUCCACGUCCGGUGCCGGUCAGCGACGAUUUCUUCGGGCCUCUUUCCGACCCGUCUUGAAACACGGACCAAGGAGUCUAACAUGCGCGCGAGUCGCGGGGUUUCGAGCGUGCCACGGUGCGCUCGUUACUUCCGAAACCCGUACGUUGAAGGCGUAAUGAAAGUGAACAGGGAAGAUGGCGUUCCGAGUCCACGAACCGUGAUCGAGUAUCGCGGCCGGACGCCCGCACUCCCGGGGCGUCUCAAUGGCUCGUCGCGGAUGCGGACGGUCGUUCUUCGGGGCGGCCGUCGGUCUGCGACGGACCGA